GAUGAAGAACGCAGCGAAAUGCGAUAAGUAAUGCGAAUUGCAGAAUUUCCGUGAGUCAUCGAAUCUUUGAACGCACAUUGCGCCCACUGGUAUUCCGGUGGGCAUGCCUGUUCGAGCGUCAUUAUCCUCCCUCAAAACUCCUGUUUUGGUGUUGGGCCGCGUUGGUCACCUCCGACCAACGGGCCUCAAAGACAAUGACGGCGUCCGUGGGACCCUCUUCGCAGUGAGCUUUUGUUAGCGCGCGUUGAGUUUAAAGGACCCUCCGCGCCGGCCACCUUUAUCUAUUUUACAAGGUUUACCUCGGAUCAGGUAGGAAUACCCGCUGAACUUAAGCAUAUCAAUAAGCGGAGGA
This 352-nucleotide unclassified non-coding RNA is filed under the name soil metagenome. RNAcentral describes it as "partial contains 5.8S ribosomal RNA, internal transcribed spacer 2, and large subunit ribosomal RNA". The stretch from base 1 to 121 matches the Rfam family "5.8S ribosomal RNA", at positions 35 to 154 of the family's 154-position model. The record is from RNAcentral.